RNAcentral lists this ribosomal RNA (321 nucleotides) under uncultured Cercozoa. Its description in RNAcentral is "bacterial SSU rRNA". It matches the Rfam family "Eukaryotic small subunit ribosomal RNA", at positions 633 to 955 of the family's 1831-position model. Lineage: Eukaryota; Cercozoa. The record is from RNAcentral.
GAUUUCUGGUGUGGAAGCACUGGCCCGCCUCUUCGGAGGUGUGUUGCCGGCUGCUUUCAGCCAUCCUUCUAGUUAACAACUCUAACCUUUACUGGCUUGGGGUUGUGAUCUAGAUCUUUUACUUUGAAAAAAUUAGAGUGUUCAAAGCAGGCUUACCGCUGUGAAUACAUUAGCAUGGAAUAAUAAGAUAGGACUUCGGUUUUAUUUUGUUGGUUUCUAGGACUGAAGUAAUGAUUGAUAGGGAUAGUUGGGGGUGCUAGUAUUCAAUGGCCAGAGGUGAAAUUCUUGGAUUCAUUGAAGACUAACUUAUGCGAAAGCAUU